Molecule: transfer RNA, 67 nt
Filed under: bovine gut metagenome
Rfam family: tRNA
About the family: Transfer RNA (tRNA) molecules are approximately 80 nucleotides in length. Their secondary structure includes four short double-helical elements and three loops (D, anti-codon, and T loops). Further hydrogen bonds mediate the characteristic L-shaped molecular structure. tRNAs have two regions of fundamental functional importance: the anti-codon, which is responsible for specific mRNA codon recognition, and the 3' end, to which the tRNAs corresponding amino acid is attached (by aminoacyl-tRNA synthetases). tRNAs cope with the degeneracy of the genetic code in two manners: having more than one tRNA (with a specific anti-codon) for a particular amino acid; and 'wobble' base-pairing, i.e. permitting non-standard base-pairing at the 3rd anti-codon position.
Source: RNAcentral
GGUGUGGCGAAGUUGGUUAACGCACCGGGUUUUGAUCCCGGCAUUCGCAGGUUCGAGUCCUGCCACC